CAAAACCCAACGAACUGGGAGCGAGAACGAUGGGACUGGGCAGCGGCAGCGCCGAAACGUCGUCGUUGAUGAGCGAGUUCCUCUUGCAAACCGGAGGAACCGCCGUGGUGGACGGAGGGCUAGCGACGGAGCUGGAGCGCCACGGCGCGGACCUCAACGAUCCGCUCUGGAGCGCCAAGUGCCUCCUCACUUCCCCUCACCUUAUUCGCGAGGUACACCUUAAUUACCUUGAAGCUGGUGCAGAUAUUAUAAUCUCAGCAUCUUAUCAGGCCACAAUUCAGGGCUUCCAGGCUAAAGGAUUUUCUAGAGAAGAAGGUGAAACCUUGCUUAGAAGAAGUGUUGAAAUCGCCUGUGAGGCACGAGAUAAUUAUUAUGAAAGAUGUGUUGAAUGUUCAUCAAAUGACACUGGAGAUGGUAGAAUUCUCAAACAUCGUCCCAUAUUAGUUGCAGCAUCUGUGGGGAGCUAUGGGGCUUACUUGGCUGAUGGGUCUGAGUACAGUGGCAAUUAUGGUGAUGCAAUUACAUUAGAAACGUUGAAAGAUUUUCAUCGGAGAAGGGUUCAAGUCCUAGCAGAGUCAGGUGCUGACCUAAUUGCAUUUGAAACAGUUCCUAAUAAACUAGAAGCUCAGGCUUUUGCGGAUAUUUUGGAGGAGGAAGACAUAAAGAUUCCUGCAUGGUUUUCUUUCAAUUCUAAAGAUGGUGUAAAUGUGGUUAGUGGUGAUUCCAUUCUUGAAUGUGCAUCCAUUGCCGAAUCAUGCAAGAAAGUUGUUGCAGUGGGAAUCAACUGUACCCCACCUAGAUUCAUUCGUGGACUGAUAUUAUCUAUUAAAAAGGUGUCAACUAAACCUAUAGUCAUAUAUCCAAACAGUGGCGAAUGUUAUGAUGCUGAGCAAAAGGAGUGGGUGCAAAAUACUGGGGUUUCAGAUGAGGAUUUUGUCUCAUAUGUAGACAGAUGGUGUGAGGUAGGGGCUUCCCUUGUUGGAGGCUGUUGCCGAACAACUCCAAAGACAAUUAAAGCCAUAUACAGGACUCUUUCCAAUAGAUCUGCUGUUGCUCUACUACCCAUAGUAACUGCUGUGACUAGCAGAGAGGAAAACCAUCUCUUUAAUGCUGAUGGUGAAAAGGCUUGCUCUGUCUGAAGAAAAUUCUUCUGGUUGUCAUGUGGGAGGAGGGCCUCUUACAAGCUGUUUAUGGGAUGGGAUAAGGCAGUUUCCUCAUGAAGUUGCAUAUGUGAAUCUUAGAGCCAAGGGAGUAGCAUAUGGGAAUUCCACUUGUCUUGAAUUUUCACCUGUUUAUUAUAAAUGUCAAAUUUCUCAGUGGCAGCUGCAGUUAUAAGUAAUGAUGAGGUGAAACCAUAGAAGCUUCUUCUCUUAGACUUGAUUCUACAUAAGUACAUAUGUUAAUUUUGAGAGCUAGUUUAUAUACUC
RNA transcript from Corylus avellana, 1427 nucleotides. It is a transcript of the gene named homocysteine methyltransferase 2, with no coding region annotated. NCBI's taxonomy places the organism in Eukaryota, Viridiplantae, Streptophyta, Magnoliopsida, Fagales, Betulaceae. The record is from RefSeq and is a predicted model, not a curated record.